This 545-nucleotide ribosomal RNA is filed under the name uncultured bacterium. RNAcentral's name for it is "partial 16S ribosomal RNA". It matches the Rfam family "Bacterial small subunit ribosomal RNA", at positions 355 to 891 of the family's 1533-position model. The record is from RNAcentral.
UGGGGAAUUUUGGACAAUGGGCGCAAGCCUGAUCCAGCCAUGCCGCGUGCGGGAAGAAGGCCUUCGGGUUGUAAACCGCUUUUGUCAGGGAAGAAAUCUUCUGAGUUAAUACCUCGGGAGGAUGACGGUACCUGAAGAAUAAGCACCGGCUAACUACGUGCCAGCAGCCGCGGUAAUACGUAGGGUGCAAGCGUUAAUCGGAAUUACUGGGCGUAAAGCGUGCGCAGGCGGUUUUGUAAGACAGAGGUGAAAUCCCCGGGCUCAACCUGGGAACUGCCUUUGUGACUGCAAGGCUUGAGUGCGGCAGAGGGGGAUGGAAUUCCGCGUGUAGCAGUGAAAUGCGUAGAUAUGCGGAGGAACACCGAUGGCGAAGGCAAUCCCCUGGGCCUGCACUGACGCUCAUGCACGAAAGCGUGGGGAGCAAACAGGAUUAGAUAGCCCUGGUAGUCCACGCCCUAAACCGAUGUCAACUGGUUGUUGGGAAGGUUCCUUCUCAGUAACGUAGCUAACGCGUGAAGUUGACCGCCUGGGGAGUACGGCCGCAA